CCUUCUCAAGUCACAUUUUUGACUCUUCGCAGUUUGAAAUUUUUGACUUGGAUUGUGGAAGUUGCUGGCUUUUUCAAGUUUGCUCUUCUUAAAUACAUUAGCAAGAGGCUGAUUUGCUUGUUGUUGGUAUCAUAAUCUUUUUGUACCAUCGCAAUCAAUCAAACUUCUCAUUCGAUGAAAAUGAGGGCCCUCGUGCUUCUAACAGUCUGUUGGAGACAAUUUGAAA
Molecule: unclassified non-coding RNA, 226 nt
Filed under: uncultured Basidiomycota
Lineage: Eukaryota; Fungi; Basidiomycota
Description: sequence contains ITS2
Source: RNAcentral